GGAUUGUGGCUCAGUGGUAGCAUGCUUGCCUGGCAUGUAUGAGGCACUGGGUUCAAUCCUCAGCACCA
This 68-nucleotide transfer RNA is filed under the name Marmota monax (woodchuck). Its description in RNAcentral is "tRNA.Ala". Lineage: Eukaryota; Metazoa; Chordata; Mammalia; Rodentia; Sciuridae. The record is from RNAcentral.